This 496-nucleotide ribosomal RNA is filed under the name Salmonella enterica subsp. enterica serovar Senftenberg. RNAcentral's name for it is "partial 23S ribosomal RNA". It matches the Rfam family "Bacterial large subunit ribosomal RNA", at positions 696 to 1190 of the family's 2925-position model. RNAcentral also lists the same sequence under 3 other names. The record is from RNAcentral. Lineage: Bacteria; Pseudomonadati; Pseudomonadota; Gammaproteobacteria; Enterobacterales; Enterobacteriaceae.
UAAGUUGCAGGGUAUAGACCCGAAACCCGGUGAUCUAGCCAUGGGCAGGUUGAAGGUUGGGUAACACUAACUGGAGGACCGAACCGACUAAUGUUGAAAAAUUAGCGGAUGACCUGUGGCUGGGGGUGAAAGGCCAAUCAAACCGGGAGAUAGCUGGUUCUCCCCGAAAGCUAUUUAGGUAGCGCCUCGUGAAUUCAUCUCCGGGGGUAGAGCACUGUUUCGGCUAGGGGGCCAUCCCGGCUUACCAACCCGAUGCAAACUGCGAAUACCGGAGAAUGUUAUCACGGGAGACACACGGCGGGUGCUAACGUCCGUCGUGAAGAGGGAAACAACCCAGACCGCCAGCUAAGGUCCCAAAGUCAUGGUUAAGUGGGAAACGAUGUGGGAAGGCCCAGACAGCCAGGAUGUUGGCUUAGAAGCAGCCAUCAUUUAAAGAAAGCGUAAUAGCUCACUGGUCGAGUCGGCCUGCGCGGAAGAUGUAACGGGGCUAAACCAU